CCCUACGGGGCGCAGCAGUGGGGAAUUUUGGACAAUGGGCGCAAGCCUGAUCCAGCCAUGCCGCGUGCGGGAAGAAGGCCUUCGGGUUGUAAACCGCUUUUGUCAGGGAAGAAACGGCUCUUUCUAAUAAAGAGAGCUAAUGACGGUACCUGAGGAAUAAGCACCGGCUAACUACGUGCCAGCAGCCGCGGUAAUACGUAGGGUGCAAGCGUUAAUCGGAAUUACUGGGCGUAAAGCGUGCGCAGGCGGCUUUGCAAGACAGAUGUGAAAUCCCCGGGCUCAACCUGGGAACUGCAUUUGUGACUGCAUGGCUAGAGUACGGUAGAGGGGGAUGGAAUUCCGCGUGUAGCAGUGAAAUGCGUAGAUAUGCGGAGGAACACCGAUGGCGAAGGCAAUCCCCCUGACCUGUACUGACGCUCAUGCACGAAAGCGUGGGGAGCAAACAGGAUUAGAUACCCUAGUAGUC
This 466-nucleotide ribosomal RNA is filed under the name uncultured bacterium. Its description in RNAcentral is "bacterial SSU rRNA". It matches the Rfam family "Bacterial small subunit ribosomal RNA", at positions 337 to 795 of the family's 1533-position model. The record is from RNAcentral.